CUCAGAAACAGACAUUUAUUUAGAAACAAAAAUUAAUCUUCUGCACAUCCGAAGUUCGGGUACCUCCUAUACCAGGAAAUUCUUGCAGACAAAAUUUUUUUCUUGGAAAAAAAAAAUCACAGAAACACAGUGAUACUGAGUAAAAAAAAAAAAAAAACACAUUAAAAGAACACUAACAUUUCUAAAACAAGAGCUCACGCUGAAGUUAAGAAAUGGCCAUAAUUAAACUUGUCCAGGAAGAUAGAUUAAGGUCAAACAUGUCUAUUAAUUUUGGGUACCCACUUUAAACCACCUUAGACCCAAUGUUUUAUAUUUUAUUUUUUCAUCAGCACAUCAUCUCAUAACGUUUUCAGCAGCUCCCUCUGCAGCGGUGACUUCUGCCCAGCACAGCCCAGGAUGCGCAGCACCAGGGGGAUGGGCGAGCCAAGGGUUGCCAGCUCUAUGUAAGCAGUCUCUUGCACAGGCAGAAAAAAAAAAUUCUAAUUUUUAAAGAGGCAUUCAAUUUAUCUACCCAGAGCCUGCACUCCUUUUCCUGUGCACUACGUUAAUUUCAGCUUCCACUGCUCAGCUACAGCCAGAGGCCUCCACAGCAGCAAACUCCCUGACCAAAGGCUGUCAACCCCGUAACUUCUUCACUACCAGGGACAACUCUCUGUGCCCCCACCCACCCCAUGUCCCGGGAGGCUCUGAGCAGAACCAGGCUGGCUCCCCACCUGGAAGCCAGGAGCCCAGCUGAGGCCUACCACAGCACCGAGACCCACCUGCACCUGCGGCACAGCACGGCUGCACUGAGGAGGCAGUGGCCUGCCCUUACAUCUCUGCUCCUGCUGCUUGUCGUCAGGGUGCACCACAACGCAGGGUGCCACAGUGGCCUCCUUCAGCCGUGCUGCUGCUUCCUCAUCCAAGAGCGACGUUACGAUGCUAAAUGAGGUACGCGAUCAGAGCGCCUUGCCAAACAAAGGGAGAAGUCAAACGCAGACACUUGUGAUUUCCGUGCUGGAUCAAGCAGAGGGAAAGGAGCUGCAGAGAAAAAAGCCGACGCUUCAAACACAUGUUUCUGUAAUCAACAGUUCCUGCAAGCAAGGUUCAGAAAAUUACAGGAAAGAUGAUCUUCUUUCUGGA
RNAcentral lists this long non-coding RNA (1122 nucleotides) under Numida meleagris (helmeted guineafowl). RNAcentral describes it as "lncRNA (ENSNMEG00000005477.1)". The record is from RNAcentral. Lineage: Eukaryota; Metazoa; Chordata; Aves; Galliformes; Numididae.